CGAAGCAGAGCAUCUCUUAUGCAUCUCUUUUACACUGAGAAGAUAAUAAAUUUUUAUUUGCUUUGA
Molecule: transfer RNA, 66 nt
Filed under: Halosydna sp. YZ-2018
Lineage: Eukaryota; Metazoa; Annelida; Polychaeta; Phyllodocida; Polynoidae
Description: tRNA-Val
Source: RNAcentral